Long non-coding RNA from Peromyscus leucopus (white-footed mouse), 494 nucleotides. RefSeq lists it as uncharacterized. The record is from RefSeq and is a predicted model, not a curated record. The transcript is spliced from 3 exons. Lineage: Eukaryota; Metazoa; Chordata; Mammalia; Rodentia; Cricetidae.
GAAAGGAAUGCAAAGGAAAGUCAACAGAGGUUGAAACAAAAAUAAAACAUUGUUUGUUUCAGUCCAUUGCAAGAGCAUUCCACCCUUGUGAAAACCAGAGAUACACAGAGUACAGAUAAGUAUCGCUCUCAACCCUCAUCAAUGAAACUAAUACACACCAUUACAUAAAACCAUAACUGGUCAAAAUGUGAAGAACAACUGUAUAUGAGACUAUGCCCAACCAAGAACAAAAGUAGCAACACUUCUACAAUGAAGACUGGAGGAACUUCAUGGAACAUGAGGUAGAAAGAUUUUCAGGACCAGGGAAGCAGGAUUGGAAUUUUGCUCUGAGAUAGUAUCUUCUAUACAUGACAGAACAAAAUUUGGAGAGUCAUUCAAAGAAGUUCACAUGGAGACAUUCCUGAAGCUGGAGAGAUUAAUGUGUGGCCAAAGAAUGCUAGUGAUGCCUGACUGUCACCAGAGUCCAAAGGAAGAAUCAGUUCAUCACAUCAUCA